Molecule: unclassified non-coding RNA, 248 nt
Filed under: uncultured fungus
Lineage: Eukaryota; Fungi
Description: sequence contains ITS1
Source: RNAcentral
UAUUACUUUGUGUCUCUUAGUCAACCUGAUCUGGUCUAUGUUCGUGGGGAGGGCAUCAUGGGCAUGUCCACACCAGUGUCCACAGCAAUGUCCACCCCAUGGCCACCCCAUGCCCACUCCCCCCGCACUCGCCCAUGCUCGUCGCACAGACCAAAGCAGGCACUCCCGCACCCACUCCCUCAUAUCGAGGGGCACCAUCCAGCACCCCUCCCCCACUAAUGAUCCUUCCGCAGGUUCACCUACGGAAA